Molecule: ribosomal RNA, 492 nt
Filed under: uncultured bacterium
Lineage: Bacteria
Description: partial 16S ribosomal RNA
Rfam family: Bacterial small subunit ribosomal RNA
Source: RNAcentral
AGUGAACGCUGGCGGUAGGCCUAACACAUGCAAGUCGAACGGCAGCACAGUAAGAGCUUGCUCUUACGGGUGGCGAGUGGCGGACGGGUGAGGAAUACGUCGGAAUCUACUUUUUCGUGGGGGAUAACGUAGGGAAACUUACGCUAAUACCGCAUACGACCUACGGGUGAAAGCAGGGGAUCUUCGGACCUUGCGCGAUUGAAUGAGCCGAUGUCGGAUUAGCUGGUUGGCGGGGUAAAGGCCCACCAAGGCGACGAUCCGUAGCUGGUCUGAGAGGAUGAUCAGCCACACUGGAACUGAGACACGGUCCAGACUCCUACGGGAGGCAGCAGUGGGGAAUAUUGGACAAUGGGCGCAAGCCUGAUCCAGCCAUACCGCGUGGGUGAAGAAGGCCUUCGGGUUGUAAAGCCCUUUUGUUGGGAAAGAAAAGCAGCAGGUUAAUACCCCGCUGUUCUGACGGUACCCAAAGAAUAAGCACCGGCUAACUUCGUG